Non-coding RNA from Podarcis lilfordi (Lilford's wall lizard), 81 nucleotides. Lineage: Eukaryota; Metazoa; Chordata; Lepidosauria; Squamata; Lacertidae. The record is from the annotation of a GenBank genome assembly.
CCUGGGAUAGCUCAGUUGGUAGAGCACGAAACUCUUAAUCCCAGGGUUGUGGGUUGGACAAUAGAUUCCUGCAGGACAGGA